This 498-nucleotide ribosomal RNA is filed under the name uncultured bacterium. RNAcentral's name for it is "bacterial SSU rRNA". It matches the Rfam family "Bacterial small subunit ribosomal RNA", at positions 30 to 506 of the family's 1533-position model. The record is from RNAcentral.
AUUGAACGCUGGCGGCAGGCCUAACACAUGCAAGUCGAGCGGUAGCACAGAGAAGCUUGCUUCUUGGGUGACGAGCGGCGGACGGGUGAGUAACGCGUGGGAAUCUACCUGGUAGUGGGGGACAACAGUCGGAAACGACUGCUAAUACCGCAUACGCCCUUCGGGGGAAAGUGGGGGAUCUUCGGACCUCACGCUAUCAGAUGAGCCCGCGUCGGAUUAGCUUGCUGGUGAGGUAAAAGCUCACCAAGGCGAUGAUCCGUAGCUGGUCUGAGAGGAUGAUCAGCCACACUGGGACUGAGACACGGGCCCAGACUCCUACGGGAGGCAGCAGUGGGGAAUAUUGGACAAUGGGGGCAACCUGAUCCAGCCAUGCCGCGUGUGUGAGGGAAGGCCUUCGGGUUGUAAAGCACUUUCAGAUGUGAGGAAAGGUGUGUGGGUUUAAUACCCGGCAUACUGUGACGUUAACAUCAGAAAGAAAAGCACCGGGCUAAACUCCGU